GGACGAACGCUGGCGGCGUGCCUAAUACAUGCAAGUAGAACGCUGAAGAGAGGAGCUUGCUCUUCUUGGAUGAGUUGCGAACGGGUGAGUAACGCGUAGGUAACCUGCCUUGUAGCGGGGGAUAACUAUUGGAAACGAUAGCUAAUACCGCAUAACAAUGGAUGACUCAUGUCAUUUAUUUGAAAGGGGCAAAUGCUCCACUACAAGAUGGACCUGCGUUGUAUUAGCUAGUAGGUGAGGUAACGGCUCACCUAGGCGACGAUACAUAGCCGACCUGGGAGGGUGAUCGGCCACACUGGGACUGAGACACGGCCCAGACUCCUACGGGAGGCAGCAGUAGGGAAUCUUCGGCAAUGGGGGCAACCCUGACCGAGCAACGCCGCGUGAGUGAAGAAGGUUUUCGGAUCGUAAAGCUCUGUUGUAAGUCAAGAACGAGUGUGAGAGUGGAAAGUUCACACUGUGACGGUAGCUUACCAGAAAGGGACGGCUAACUACGUGCCAGCAGCCGCGGUAAUACGUAGGUCCCGAGCGUUGUCCGGAUUUAUUGGGCGUAAAGCGAGCGCAGGCGGUUUGAUAAGUCUGAAGUUAAAGGCUGUGGCUCAACCAUAGUUCGCUUUGGAAACUGUCAAACUUGAGUGCAGAAGGGGAGAGUGGAAUUCCAUGUGUAGCGGUGAAAUGCGUAGAUAUAUGGAGGAACACCGGUGGCGAAAGCGGCUCUCUGGUCUGUAACUGACGCUGAGGCUCGAAAGCGUGGGGAGCGAACAGGAUUAGAUACCCUGGUAGUCCACGCCGUAAACGAUGAGUGCUAGGUGUUGGAUCCUUUCCGGGAUUCAGUGCCGCAGCUAACGCAUUAAGCACUCCGCCUGGGGAGUACGACCG
Molecule: ribosomal RNA, 879 nt
Filed under: uncultured bacterium
Lineage: Bacteria
Description: bacterial SSU rRNA
Rfam family: Bacterial small subunit ribosomal RNA
Source: RNAcentral